This 765-nucleotide long non-coding RNA is filed under the name Panax ginseng (ginseng). RNAcentral describes it as "long non-coding RNA (PGIN_LNC007330)". The record is from RNAcentral. Lineage: Eukaryota; Viridiplantae; Streptophyta; Magnoliopsida; Apiales; Araliaceae.
UCCACAAACACAAUCAACAGUAGGCUCUAAAGCUAUAUACUCAUCCCACAAGUUCUUAAGUUUAUGAUAAUAGAUUUCAACAGAUUUAUCUCCUUGUUAUAAAGUAUGACUAUCCUUUAAAAUUUGAUAAAUUAUGUGGCCAUUAAUGCCUGAAAACCUUUCAUUUAGUUCAUUCCAAACCUCAUAAGUUGAGUUCACAAAAUUCAUGCCAUCACUAAUAUCAUCAUUCACAGUAUUCAAAAUCUAGGUUAUUACCAUAUCAUUUACUCUUUCCCAUUGAGCAAACAAAGGAAAAUCCACAUCAGGUUUUGGAUAACUUCCAUUAACUAGAACAAAUUUAUUCCUAGCACUUAAGGCUAUUUACAUAGACCAUUUCCAAUGAGCAAAAUUAUCUGCUCCUGUGAACCAUUUAGAUAUCAAAACUAGCGUCGGGUGAUCAUUAUUGUGUAAGAAAAAAGGAUGAGUAUUCGAAUCUAUUGAAACAGAAUUAACAUCAUGACCUGCUUCUGUUUGAGUGUUGCUGCUUAAGCCUUGUCCAUGAUGUUGAUUAGUUGGAAUGUUUGACUGAACCAUAUUUGCAUAGCUCAAAUUCACCAUAGCUAUAGGAAAUGGAACUAGAUCUAGAAUCAAAUCUGAACAAGAGAGAAAAAAAGAAAACAGAAAUUUAGAUACAGAGAGAAUUUGAAUCAAAAACUUUGAAUGUUAUGUACUAAUCUUGUAGAAAAUCGUUAAUAGGUCAUGAUCUGCUUUGAUACCAUGUUAGGU